RNAcentral lists this transfer RNA (76 nucleotides) under candidate division MSBL1 archaeon SCGC-AAA259O05. RNAcentral describes it as "tRNA-Gly". It matches the Rfam family "tRNA". Rfam says of the family: Transfer RNA (tRNA) molecules are approximately 80 nucleotides in length. The record is from RNAcentral. Lineage: Archaea; Methanobacteriati; Methanobacteriota.
GCGGGCGUAGUGUUAGGUCGGUUCAACACACCUCCCUUCCAAGGAGGUACCGACGGUUCAAAUCCGUUCGCCCGCA